AAACGGGGCGAUCUCCUCAUUUCAAGUAUCAGACAUUCUCAAAGGUAAAGAAGACCCAUUUAGAAAGCAAGUGGUAUUCAAUGUUUACUAUAACGAGGAAGAAUUUGACAUUAAAUGCUCAUGUCGGUUGUUCGAGUUCAAAGGGAUUAUUUGUAGACACAUUUGCAAAGUGCUUAUUGAGAAAAGUGUCAAGGCGGUUCCAUGUGAUUAUAUUUUGGCACAAUGGAGGAAGGACAUCAAGCGUAGGCAUACUUAUGUGCUUAACUGUUAUGAUGACCCACAAACUAGCGAGGAGAAAUUGCGCUACAAUAGAUUGUAUUCUUAUUUUUCCAAAGCUGCUGAACUUGGAGCAGUAUCCAUUGAGAAAUAUAAUUUCUUGAUGAAGUUUGUGGAUGGAGCAAUUGAGAAGUUGAUGGGCAAUGCAAACUAUAGUGAAUUUUAGCCACUUAUGUUUAUGGAUGAGAGUAGUGAGCAACAUCAAAAAUUGUUGACGCCUUUGAAGGUGCGGAGCAAGGGCCGACCGCCAUCAAAGAGGAAGAAGUCAAAGGUUGAAGAAAUAAUUGUUAGAAAUAAAAAAAAGAAGGCCCAAACUAAGAGAAACGAAGCAACUCAAAAAGAUACACCACCUGAACACUGCACACAAGAGAGUGUGGUGAAUUCAAACUCUCUUUCGAUCAAGCGGGAUAUGCAACCUAGUUCUUCCAUGGGUAUUACAAAUGAAGUCAAUGAAUUCUGAUUAUGAAUAGGGUGGAUUUUUGUUUGGUGAUGUUCCUGUACUUUCAGACAUUUCAUUUGGUGAUGAAGGUAUUAGUGUCAAAACAAUUGAAGUUGCAUAUGCAUAUAUGCUUUUAUUUAUGUUUGGC
This is a long non-coding RNA of Dioscorea cayenensis subsp. rotundata (Guinea yam), 863 nucleotides long. RefSeq lists it as uncharacterized. The transcript is spliced from 4 exons. The record is from RefSeq and is a predicted model, not a curated record. Lineage: Eukaryota; Viridiplantae; Streptophyta; Magnoliopsida; Dioscoreales; Dioscoreaceae.